RNAcentral lists this ribosomal RNA (454 nucleotides) under Candidatus Ehrlichia regneryi. RNAcentral's name for it is "bacterial SSU rRNA". It matches the Rfam family "Bacterial small subunit ribosomal RNA", at positions 210 to 681 of the family's 1533-position model. Lineage: Bacteria; Pseudomonadati; Pseudomonadota; Alphaproteobacteria; Rickettsiales; Anaplasmataceae. The record is from RNAcentral.
UUUUAUCGCUAUUAGAUGAGCCUAUGUUAGAUUAGCUAGUUGGUAAGGUAAUGGCUUACCAAGGCUAUGAUCUAUAGCUGGUCUGAGAGGACGAUCAGCCACACUGGAACUGAGAUACGGUCCAGACUCCUACGGGAGGCAGCAGUGGGGAAUAUUGGACAAUGGGCGAAAGCCUGAUCCAGCUAUGCCGCGUGAGUGAAGAAGGCCUUCUGGUUGUAAAACUCUUUCAAUAGGGAAGAUAAUGACGGUACCUAUAGAAGAAGUCCCGGCAAACUCUGUGCCAGCAGCCGCGGUAAUACGGAGGGGGCAAGCGUUGUUCGGAAUUAUUGGGCGUAAAGGGCACGUAGGUGGACUAGUAAGUUAAAAGUGAAAUACCAAAGCUUAACUUUGGAGCGGCUUUUGAUACUGCUAGACUAGAGGUCUGAAGAGGAUAGCGGAAUUCCUAGUGUAGAGA